AUGUAACCUGGCUACUUAAAUCCCUAAUUUCCAAGCUUUGAGGUCAGAUGUGCUCCAUGUUUUUUUCUUGGAUUAAAUACAUUGAUAAUCUCUUUGUUUCAAUGAUUGUGGACAGAUAGAACAUUACAACAUUCCAGUUCAUCACCUUUUCCUCCAAGGAACACAAAGACACUUUCUAGGAGAGUUUUCUCCAGCCCCAUGGGCUGCGGGAGGGGCAAGGUGGCUCCGGCAUGGAAUUGUCUCCAGAUCCUGCUUUAGCCAGGAGCAACAACUGCAGCAAAGGCACAGAUGCAGAAUCCCAGUUUGGAGGUUUCCCUAUUCUGGUAUCAUUAACCCUCCCCUGGCCUCUGCUCCGGGUUAUUUUCCCAGCUGCACUGAUUAGUCAUUCCCUUGUCCUCAUCUUUGCUUCGCUGUCUUGCCUCAAUCCCUUCUAUCCUGACGUGUAUUUCCAUUAAUCAAGCCCUUCCCCUGUCUGUUUUUCCUGGCUGGAUUUGCCAAAAUGCUUUAUUUACAAAUAUCUCCAGAAUCGGAUUCUUUUGGUUAAAAAGUGAUGCCAGUGUUGGGUGAAGGAAAGCUGAUUUUUGACAAAUCCGGCGUGAGAAUGAGAACAAAUGGGGACUUUGAUGAAUUGGUUAUUGCUAAGUGUUGUCCUCCUGCGAAUCAACUCAGUUUUCCCUGUUAACACAAGCAGGAAAAAGGAUUUAAUUUCUCUAAACGUUUCUCCUUGAUGAUCUACCUCUCCGGCUUCAAGAUUUAUGUUGCUGCUUAUCAGCAAAGCAGCUGAAUUCCUCCCAUGGACUGCGAUUUCGAGUUGAUUUCUGGCACUUUGCCCUCCCUGGGAUUGAAACUGUGCUAAGGAGAGGCGGUUGCUGUUUUUCAGUGGUAUCGGUUCAGGGUUUUAUAUGGUUUUAAGUUGAUUUCCUGGAGUGAUUUAAAAAAAUAUGUCAUUUUUGAAAGGUUCAAGAGGAGGCAUCAGCUCAUCCUGGAGAUGCUUUAGGCUCUUGCCCUCAUCUAGACGUGUCUCCCGUGCUCUGAUACCUCUGCCGUGAUUUGAAAAGACCUUUAAGUCCAGCUGUAAGAUCAUCUCCCACCCUGUCUUCCCGUUACACCCUCACGGUGGGGCUGGUGAGGACUCUCGGUGCCUUGUUCCUGACUGGAAAAAAAACCCGGCUCCAAAGGUCUGAUGUCUCUAACAGUGCUUGUCUCUGACGAUGACCACGCUGUCCCCAGGGCUGAUCUUGACAUCUGGCUGCCUCACCACUAAGUGAUCUUCCCAGGCUCUUGCUGCUGCAGCAGAUGGGGUUGCCGACUGCUAUCAGAGAUGCUCGAGGUGAGAUAAGUAAGCCUGGAGACCUGGAAAGCCAAGCUUUUGUUUCUGGUAUUUUCAGCUUUACCUCGGUGUGCUGGUGGCUCUGGCCAUGCAAUGGAGAAUUGUCCACAACAGGUCUUCUCCAAACUGUCAUAGUUUCAUAGUUUAGCCCUGACCCAGCCAAUAUCGGCAGCUAAAACUGAGCAGCUGGGCUUCCAAUUCCUUUCUCCCCUUACCCCCAGAGAAAGGGAAAUGAGAGGAAAAAGACUUACUGGUUGGAAACUA
This is a long non-coding RNA of Cuculus canorus (common cuckoo), 1594 nucleotides long. RefSeq lists it as uncharacterized. The record is from RefSeq and is a predicted model, not a curated record. Lineage: Eukaryota; Metazoa; Chordata; Aves; Cuculiformes; Cuculidae. The transcript is spliced from 3 exons.